CCUACGGGCGGCAGCAGUGGGGAAUAUUGGGCAAUGGGCGCAAGCCUGACCCAGCAACGCCGCGUGAAGGAAGAAGGCUUUCGGGUUGUAAACUUCUUUUGUCAGGGAAGAGUAGAAGACGGUACCUGACGAAUAAGCCACGGCUAACUACGUGCCAGCAGCCGCGGUAAUACGUAGGUGGCAAGCGUUGUCCGGAUUUACUGGGUGUAAAGGGCGUGUAGCCGGGUUGAAAAGUCAGAUGUGAAAUCCUGCGGCUUAAACCCAGAACUGCCAUUGAAACUGUUGGACUUGAGUACUGGAGAGGCAGACGGAAUUCCUAGUGUAGCGGUGAAAUGCGUAGAUAUUAGGAGGAACACCAGUGGCGAAGGCGGUCUGCUGGACAGCAACUGACGGUGAGGCGCGAAAGCGUGGGGAGCAAACAGGAUUAGAUACCCGAGUAGUC
Molecule: ribosomal RNA, 442 nt
Filed under: uncultured bacterium
Lineage: Bacteria
Description: partial 16S ribosomal RNA
Rfam family: Bacterial small subunit ribosomal RNA
Source: RNAcentral